RNAcentral lists this transfer RNA (77 nucleotides) under Brevibacterium sp. CS2. RNAcentral's name for it is "tRNA-Met". It matches the Rfam family "tRNA". From Rfam's summary of the family: Transfer RNA (tRNA) molecules are approximately 80 nucleotides in length. Their secondary structure includes four short double-helical elements and three loops (D, anti-codon, and T loops). Further hydrogen bonds mediate the characteristic L-shaped molecular structure. tRNAs have two regions of fundamental functional importance: the anti-codon, which is responsible for specific mRNA codon recognition, and the 3' end, to which the tRNAs corresponding amino acid is attached (by aminoacyl-tRNA synthetases). tRNAs cope with the degeneracy of the genetic code in two manners: having more than one tRNA (with a specific anti-codon) for a particular amino acid; and 'wobble' base-pairing, i.e. permitting non-standard base-pairing at the 3rd anti-codon position. The record is from RNAcentral. Lineage: Bacteria; Bacillati; Actinomycetota; Actinomycetes; Micrococcales; Brevibacteriaceae.
GCCCCUGUAGCUCAGCUGGUCAGAGCAGAGGACUCAUAAUCCUUUGGUCGCGGGUUCAAGCCCCGCCGGGGGCACCG